AAUUCGCCCUUGGGCGGAGUGUACAAGGCAUGCAAGUCGAACGUAGCUAGUUUGCAACACUUUGAUUUUCUCAAGUGAGGAAGUAAAAGUGUUGUAGACUGGUUUAGUGGCAAACGGGUGCGUAACACAUUGGUAACCUACCUCUAAGUCGAGGAUAGCUCAUCGAGAGGUGAAUUAAUACUCGAUGGUCAUGCGGGGACAUAAGUCAUUCGCAUGUAAAGUUUUUCGCUUAGAAAGGGGCCUAUGGCCUAUCAGCUAGUUGGUGAGGUAAUGGCUCACCAAGGCUUUGACGGGUAGCAGGCGUGAGAGCGCGACCUGCCUCAGUGGGACUGCGAUACUGCCCACACUCCUACGGGAGGCUGCAGUCGAGAAUAUUCCACAAUGGGGGAAACCCUGAUGGAGCGACACCGCGUGGGGGAUGAAGGCCUUCGGGUCGUAAACCCCUUUUAUAUGGGACGAAGCGCAAGCUGACGGUACCAUACGAAUAAGAGGUUGCUAACUCUGUGCCAGCAGCAGCGGUAAUACAGAGACCUCAAGCGUUAUCCGGAUUCACUGGGCGUAAAGCGUCCGCAGGUGGUUUAUUAAGUCAUUUGUCAAAUCCCGGUGCUCAACAUCGGAACUGCGAAUGAUACUGUAUAACUUGAGACUGGGAGAGGCACACGGAACUGUCGGCGUAGUAGUAAAAUGCGUUGAUAUCGACAGGAACACCAAAGGCGAAGGCAGUGUGCUAGAACAGUUCUGACACUCAUGGACGAAAGCGUGGGGAGCGAAAGGGAUUAGGUACCCCUGUAGCCCACGCCAUAAACUAUGUCUACUAGGUAUUGGCAGUAUCGACCCUGUCAGUGCCGUUCAAAAAAGCUAACGCGUUAAGUAGACCGCCUGGGGAGUACGGCCGCAAGGUUAAAACUCAAAGGAAUAGACGGGGACCCGCACAAGCGGUGGAUCAUGCGGUUUAAUACGACGAUAAGCGAGGAACCUCACCAAGGUUUGACAUGUAGCUGCAAGGUCUAGAAAUAGAUCCGCCUUCGAGGGUGCUACACAGAUGCUGCAUGGUUGUCGUCAGCUCGUGUCGUGAGAUGUACCGUUAAGUCGGGAAACGAGCGCAACCCUUUUCUUAUGUUUUAUAUGUCAUAAGAUACUGCCCGUUUUAAAUGGGAGGAAGGUGGGACGACGUCAAAUCAGCAUGGUUCUUACACCUUGGGCAACACACGUGCUACAAUGGGAAGUACAAAGGGACGCCAAAUCGCGAGAUGGAGCAAAUCCCUAAAAACUUUUCUCAGUUCGGAUUGGAGUCUGCAACUCGACUCCAUGAAGCUGGAAUCGCUAGUAAUCGUGGAUCAGCUAUGCCACGGUGAAUACGUUCUCGGGCCUUGUACACUCCGCCCAAGGGC
This 1391-nucleotide ribosomal RNA is filed under the name uncultured Parcubacteria group bacterium. RNAcentral's name for it is "bacterial SSU rRNA". It matches the Rfam family "Bacterial small subunit ribosomal RNA", at positions 28 to 1403 of the family's 1533-position model. The record is from RNAcentral.